CAUGGGCAGGUUGAAGGUUGGGUAACACUAACUGGAGGACCGAACCGACUAAUGUUGAAAAAUUAGCGGAUGACUUGUGGCUGGGGGUGAAAGGCCAAUCAAACCGGGAGAUAGCUGGUUCUCCCCGAAAGCUAUUUAGGUAGCGCCUCGUGAACUCAUCUCCGGGGGUAGAGCACUGUUUCGGCAAGGGGGUCAUCCCGACUUACCAACCCGAUGCAAACUGCGAAUACCGGAGAAUGUUAUCACGGGAGACACACGGCGGGUGCUAACGUCCGUCGUGAAGAGGGAAACAACCCAGACCGCCAGCUAAGGUCCCAAAGUCAUGGUUAAGUGGGAAACGAUGUGGGAAGGCCCAGACAGCCAGGAUGUUGGCUUAGAAGCAGCCAUCAUUUAAAGAAAGCGUAAUAGCUCACUGGUCGAGUCGGCCUGCGCGGAAGAUGUAACGGGGCUAAACCAUGCACCGAAGCUGCGGCAGCGACGCUUAUGCGUUGUUGGGUAGGGGAGCGUUCUGUAAGCCUGCGAAGGUGUACUGUGAGGUAUGCUGGAGGUAUCAGAAGUGCGAAUGCUGACAUAAGUAACGAUAAAGCGGGUGAAAAGCCCGCUCGCCGGAAGACCAAGGGUUCCUGUCCAACGUUAAUCGGGGCAGGGUGAGUCGACCCCUAAGGCGAGGCCGAAAGGCGUAGUCGAUGGGAAACAGGUUAAUAUUCCUGUACUUGGUGUUACUGCGAAGGGGGGACGGAGAAGGCUAUGUUGGCCGGGCGACGGUUGUCCCGGUUUAAGCGUGUAGGCUGGUUUUCCAGGCAAAUCCGGAAAAUCAAGGCUGAGGCGUGAUGACGAGGCACUACGGUGCUGAAGCAACAAAUGCCCUGCUUCCAGGAAAAGCCUCUAAGCAUCAGGUAACAUCAAAUCGUACCCCAAACCGACACAGGUGGUCAGGUAGAGAAUACCAAGGCGCUUGAGAGAACUCGGGUGAAGGAACUAGGCAAAAUGGUGCCGUAACUUCGGGAGAAGGCACGCUGAUAUGUAGGUGAAGCGACUUGCUCGUGGAGCUGAAAUCAGUCGAAGAUACCAGCUGGCUGCAACUGUUUAUUAAAAACACAGCACUGUGCAAACACGAAAGUGGACGUAUACGGUGUGACGCCUGCCCGGUGCCGGAAGGUUAAUUGAUGGGGUUAGCGGUAACGCGAAGCUCUUGAUCGAAGCCCCGGUAAACGGCGGCCGUAACUAUAACGGUCCUAAGGUAGCGAAAUUCCUUGUCGGGUAAGUUCCGACCUGCACGAAUGGCGUAAUGAUGGCCAGGCUGUCUCCACCCGAGACUCAGUGAAAUUGAACUCGCUGUGAAGAUGCAGUGUACCCGCGGCAAGACGGAAAGACCCCGUGAACCUUUACUAUAGCUUGACACUGAACAUUGAGCCUUGAUGUGUAGGAUAGGUGGGAGGCUUUGAAGUGUGGACGCCAGUCUGCAUGGAGCCGACCUUGAAAUACCACCCUUUAAUGUUUGAUGUUCUAACGUUGGCCCCUGAUCGGGGUUGCGGACAGUGUCUGGUGGGUAGUUUGACUGGGGCGGUCUCCUCCUAAAGAGUAACGGAGGAGCACGAAGGUUGGCUAAUCCUGGUCGGACAUCAGGAGGUUAGUGCAAUGGCAUAAGCCAGCUUGACUGCGAGCGUGACGGCGCGAGCAGGUGCGAAAGCAGGUCAUAGUGAUCCGGUGGUUCUGAAUGGAAGGGCCAUCGCUCAACGGAUAAAAGGUACUCCGGGGAUAACAGGCUGAUACCGCCCAAGAGUUCAUAUCGACGGCGGUGUUUGGCACCUCGAUGUCGGCUCAUCACAUCCUGGGGCUGAAGUAGGUCCCAAGGGUAUGGCUGUUCGCCAUUUAAAGUGGUACGCGAGCUGGGUUUAGAACGUCGUGAGACAGUUCGGUCCCUAUCUGCCGUGGGCGCUGGAGAACUGAGGGGGGCUGCUCCUAGUACGAGAGGACCGGAGUGGACGCAUCACUGGUGUUCGGGUUGUCAUGCCAAUGGCACUGCCCGGUAGCUAAAUGCGGAAGAGAUAAGUGCUGAAAGCAUCUAAGCACGAAACUUGCCCCGAGAUGAGUUCUCCCUGACCCUUUAAGGGUCCUGAAGGAACGUUGAAGACGACGACGUUGAUAGGCCGGGUGUGUAAGCGCAGCGAUGCGUUGAGCUAACCGGUACUAAUGAACCGUGAG
This 2205-nucleotide ribosomal RNA is filed under the name Escherichia coli. RNAcentral's name for it is "partial 23S ribosomal RNA". It matches the Rfam family "Bacterial large subunit ribosomal RNA", at positions 735 to 2915 of the family's 2925-position model. Lineage: Bacteria; Pseudomonadati; Pseudomonadota; Gammaproteobacteria; Enterobacterales; Enterobacteriaceae. The record is from RNAcentral.